UACCUUGAAGCUCAUGGGUCGCCUAGCCUG
RNAcentral lists this non-coding RNA (30 nucleotides) under Mus musculus (house mouse). Lineage: Eukaryota; Metazoa; Chordata; Mammalia; Rodentia; Muridae. The record is from RNAcentral.